GACAGAGGCCUCGAGCGUUAGGCGGAAUCACUGGGCUUAAAGCGUGUGUAGGCGGGCCCGUAAGUGUCUUGUGAAAUCCUACGGCUCAACCGUGGAACUGCUGGGCAUACUGCGGGUCUUGGGCCAACUAGGGGCAGCCGGAACAAGCGGUGGAGCGGUGAAAUGCGUAGAUAUCGCUUGGAACGCCGAAGGUGAAAACAGGCUGCUGGGGUUGCGCCGACGCUGAGACACGAAGGCCAGGGGAGCAAACGGG
RNAcentral lists this ribosomal RNA (253 nucleotides) under uncultured bacterium. Its description in RNAcentral is "partial 16S ribosomal RNA". It matches the Rfam family "Bacterial small subunit ribosomal RNA", at positions 524 to 776 of the family's 1533-position model. The record is from RNAcentral.